UGGGGAAUCUACCUGUGGCCU
This 21-nucleotide non-coding RNA is filed under the name Mus musculus (house mouse). Lineage: Eukaryota; Metazoa; Chordata; Mammalia; Rodentia; Muridae. The record is from RNAcentral.